GGAGCAGGAAGAGGUUGCCGUGCAAAUCGAGGAUGGACUCUUCAGCCUGUUAAUGAAUGAAACUAUAACUGCGCUUUACCAAUGCUGAUUCCAGUCACCUGAACAUGGCAAAAACGCAACAUCGAUGCUUAAGUUUCUACUCGCCAGAUGAAUCAAACACAAACAAGAUUCUAAAGCAUAUGUUUGGACUAUCUUAGUCAAGGGAAUCUGAUAAAGGAGAUAAAAUGUAGCCAAUAUAAAAACUCAUUCAAGUGACAUAAAGUUUUCAGCUUUAGAAAUUAGCAGGCAAAACAGUUUUGAUUAGAGCUUGAUCUAAAGGCUCAGAUUUUGCUAUGCUUUUUAUGUAAGAAUGAAGCAAACAAAUGCAAUGUACAUUAACCUCUUAAAACAAUGCAAUGUACAAAUGUACCUUUUGCAUAUCUCUGCUUAGUAGAGAUCCCAUUGCUACACUUUACAGCAAGAAAUUGAAUUCAUGCUAAACAGAAACAGAGAAGAAAAUUCAAAUUGUACAAAAUUAGUAAUUGGGUUCAUGGCAAGGAUUCGCGAUCGCAGCCUUCCAAAUAAAAUAACCCUAAAUCCUCAAUUUCAAAUCUUAUCUAGAUCAUUGAGAGACAGUGAAGAGAGGAUUAAAAAAGCUCCGAUUGUCUAAAAUCGGAGAAGAAGAAGUAAAAUUGAANNN
RNAcentral lists this long non-coding RNA (679 nucleotides) under Capsella grandiflora. RNAcentral describes it as "long non-coding RNA (CGRA_LNC001494)". The record is from RNAcentral. Lineage: Eukaryota; Viridiplantae; Streptophyta; Magnoliopsida; Brassicales; Brassicaceae.